GACGAACGCUGGCGGCGUGCUUAACACAUGCAAGUCGAGCGGUAAGGCCCUUUCGGGGGUACACGAGCGGCGAACGGGUGAGUAACACGUGGGUGACCUGCCUUUAGCUCUGGGAUAAGCCUGGGAAACCGGGUCUAAUACCGGAUAUGACUCCGCGGCGCAUGUUGUGGGGUGGAAAGCCUUGUGCGGCUGGAGAUGGGCCCGCGGCCUAUCAGCUUGUUGGUGGGGUGAUGGCCUACCAAGGCGACGACGGGUAGCCGGCCUGAGAGGGCGACCGGCCACACUGGGACUGAGACACGGCCC
RNAcentral lists this ribosomal RNA (303 nucleotides) under uncultured bacterium. RNAcentral's name for it is "bacterial SSU rRNA". It matches the Rfam family "Bacterial small subunit ribosomal RNA", at positions 28 to 332 of the family's 1533-position model. The record is from RNAcentral.